ACUAGUCUGGAGUCGACUCGAGCUCGUGCCAGUGAACUUGAUACGCUUGGAGUCGACUCGUGAUACUCGGGAGUCGACUCGAGUCUCAGACUUUGGUUCAGCAGACUUCUUAACUUAUCCAAAAUACUAUGAACCAAAUCUAGAGACACUUGGACAGGAUUUUCACUGAAACACUCAAUUGAAUUCAUUAGUAAUCACAAGAUAUACUCAAAUGCUUUGAGCUCAUCAAAAUCAAAUGGGGUUUUAAUCAAU
RNAcentral lists this long non-coding RNA (252 nucleotides) under Phoenix dactylifera (date palm). RNAcentral's name for it is "long non-coding RNA (PDAC_LNC018339)". Lineage: Eukaryota; Viridiplantae; Streptophyta; Magnoliopsida; Arecales; Arecaceae. The record is from RNAcentral.